This 649-nucleotide long non-coding RNA is filed under the name Brassica rapa (field mustard). RNAcentral describes it as "long non-coding RNA (BRAP_LNC005310)". Lineage: Eukaryota; Viridiplantae; Streptophyta; Magnoliopsida; Brassicales; Brassicaceae. The record is from RNAcentral.
UUGGAUACGUAAAACUACAGUUGCUUUUUCUUAUAGAAUUUCCAUUCAUUUUUUAAUUGUCAUGGUUUCACCAUUUCUGCCAUAAUGUCUAUUGGCCGACAUGAGAAAAAAAAAUCCGUUUAAAAAUAAAGAAAAAAAGGAAAGAAAAGUUUAAUCAUCGGUUUGUGUUGGCAUAAAGAAAGAUCGAAAACUGAAAAUGAUUAGAAAUGAAGAAAAGAAAUGGGUUUCUUGCUAUCUUAGCCACACAACAAAAUAUUUUUGUGCCCUUUCCCAUCAUGGUAAGUGGAAACCAAGUCUUCAACCUUAAAAGAUACAUAAACAUGUGUAGAAACUAUAAAUCUGGAAAACUUAAACUAUUCCAAUUUUGGUCACUCCCAAUAAUGGAUCUCUUCGCUACCUGCUACGGCCGGUAGGUAAACUAAUUGACACAUAAAAUAAUAGUUUUCAAAUAUUUGUUGAUAAUGUAAAAAAAUCUUGCCUACCCAAUUAAGUUAUGCCACGUAGUGGAUAUGCCACAUAUAUGAUCCUACGUACGAUAUUUUACCCUCCCUUACCAAUGUCACCAUCGUCGAUGUGACACCUUUAUAGAAAACAUAAUCAUUCAUGAAAAUAACACGACAGUAAAAGUCAAUUUGUCUGUGAAUAGCAC